Molecule: ribosomal RNA, 429 nt
Filed under: Actinomycetes bacterium
Lineage: Bacteria; Bacillati; Actinomycetota; Actinomycetes
Description: Actinobacteria bacterium partial 16S ribosomal RNA
Rfam family: Bacterial small subunit ribosomal RNA
Source: RNAcentral
UAGGGAAUCUUCCGCAAUGGGCGAAAGCCUGACGGAGCAACGCCGCGUGAGUGAUGAAGGUCUUCGGAUCGUAAAACUCUGUUAUUAGGGAAGAACAAAUGUGUAAGUAACUAUGCACGUCUUGACGGUACCUAAUCAGAAAGCCACGGCUAACUACGUGCCAGCAGCCGCGGUAAUACGUAGGUGGCAAGCGUUAUCCGGAAUUAUUGGGCGUAAAGCGCGCGUAGGCGGUUUUUUAAGUCUGAUGGGAAACCCCACGGCUCAAACGUGGGGGGCCAAUGGAAACUGGACAACUUGGGUGCAGAAGAGGAAAGUGGAAUUCCAUGUGUAGCGAUGAAAUGAGAAGAGAUAUGGAAGAACACCAGUGGCGAAGGCGACUUUCUGGUCUGUAACUGACGCUGAUGUGCGAAAGCGUGGGGAUCAAACAGG